GCAGUGCUUUGCCAGCACCGCUGUGCAAUUCAGGUGAGAGAGGCAUGGUGGGGGCACAGCAAUGGGGGGGGAGAAGGCAUAUUUGUUUCAUCUCGAGCAGAGAAAUGAGCCGUGCUGCCCCUACUGAGUGCCCUGAAAGAUGUAGCACUUGAAACAUAGGCAAUUCAUUCAGCCCUUUGAAAGAAGUGAAGACCUACAAGGUGAAGAUUCCCCACCAAAACUCCCAAGCUGCAGCAGCGCCUGGCUGUUUCCCCCUCUGAUUUGCUGAAGUUUUCACUCUCAACACUCUAGUGCUGCAGGACACACCUCCCUUGCUGAAAGAAUUCAGAAAGAAACUAACCCAUUGCAGCACAACUCUCCCCCACUUCCAUCAAGCUGUAGGGAUGCAGGUGGCGCUGUGGUCUAAACCACUGAGCCUCUUGGGCUUGCCAAUCACUAGGUCAGCAGUUUGAAUCCCUGCGACUGAGUGAGCUCCUGUUGCUCUGUCCCAGCGCCUGCCAACCUAGCAGUUCGAAAGCAUACCAGUGCAAGUAGAUAAAUAGGUACCACUGUGGCGGGAAGGUAAACAGUGUUUCCGUGCACUCUGGUUUCCAUCACAGUGUUCUGUUGCUCCAGAAGCAGUUUAAUCAUGCUGGCCACAUGACCCGGAAAGCUGUCCGUGGACAAAUGCCGGCUCCCUUGGCCUGAAGGCAGAAAUGAGCGCCGCACCCCAUAGUCGAAUUCGACUGGACUUAACCAUCCAGGGGUCUUUUACCCUUACCUUACCAGCAAGUUGUCCCCCCUCUUUCUAACACUUGCUUAAGACAGAAUAUGAUUGGGAUAUGGCUGGUGCUAGUGGUGGUAGCUUUCUGUUUCCCAAAAGGCAUCUGGUUGGCCCCUGGGAGAACAUGAGGACUGGAUGGGUCACUGGCUAGCUCUAGCAGGCUCUUCAUUUGUUCUUUAUACAACAGUAUUACCCCCCAAGGCUUUUUUUCAGCCAGAACCUGCCAGAACUCAGUUCUAGAAAAAUAGCACUGAUUAGCCCCCCUGCCCAAAGAUCCAUAGUUUUGGGAACCACAUUUAUUUUUAAGUCAUGUUCAUAUUACACCCUCCCACUCCCAUGUUUCCCGCUAUUGAUUCCCGUAGCAUAAAUGGGAAAGUUCCUCUAAUAUACUUCCGUAAUUAUGUGAAUUAUAAUCUGCAAAGAACUCUGCAGUCGUCACUUUUUGCGGGGGUGGGGAAAUUGCAGGAGGGGAGGGGUGAUAAGCUGUACAUAUACACACACAAAGCGCGAGAGGCAGUCCCAGCGUUCUCUUCCCAGGUCUUCACGCUCUUAACUUCAGGCUGGUCUUACUUUCAGCCUGGCAGUACGGUCCCGUAGCUACACAGAUCCCAAUGUGUGCCACACAGGUCAGAGGUCCUUUCCGAAUUGGCGGGACCUCAUAGCAAGCAGUCUUUGAAGCUGGGCUGUAAAAUUUUAGAAGCUCCAAUAUGCUCAACGGGUGUGAAACUGUCAGAAAUUUGGGGGCUCAACACUCAAACACGUACACUUCACUCCCUGUCUCUCUCUCUACACACAUACACACACACACACACACACAGAGAGAGAGAGAGAGAGAGAGAGAGAGAGAGCCUGUUUACCCAGAUGUACAACCUCUUCCCUUCAGGGCUGGAGAAUUAUGCCUCAAAUAUGUUGCACAAAUGAAUAAUAAAAACAAAAGAAAAUGACCCUCUUUAUGGAAACUCAUUUUAUGAAUAAAACAAUUAUUCUGGUAAUUGAAAAAAUGUGUCGUUAAAUUAAAUGCAGUGGUUCCUAUUAAAAUUUUAGUGGGUUUCUUUUCUUUCUUCCCCACCCACCCCUUCUCUCUCUCCCCCCUUCCCUCCCUUUCCCCUCCCUGCCGCUGCUGGCGGUGAAGGGUUGGCAAUUAGAGCAGAGGGUUUCGUUUUUCUCUUUAUUGUUUUUUAAUCUCGCUUCGUGCCGUGCAGCUCCAGUGAUAUUUUGAUGUCAAUGAGAUUUAGAACAAUAUCCCUGGUGUUGGGAGGGGGAAAGAGGGAAAGAUGGGGAGGGAAUGAGAGGAAAAACAGCUGCUCUUUUCCUGGGCAUGCAGGGGCAAUGUGUGACCAUUGCCGCUUCUGCUCCUGGGCAGUAAGGCAGCCAUAUUCACAUGGUCUGAACAAGCUCUGAGCCAAAGAAAACCCGUCUUGAUUCAGUGGGUGAAGCGUAUCACUCUGCCCCUUAGAAACCAAAGGGGCUCCGCAAAAGGGCUCCACUGUUGGCUGGAGAGUGUCCUUGGUUUCCCAUUUCCGUUUCAAAAUAGGAAGUGCAGGAAGCGGCAGCACGAUUCUGCAAGCCCGAUGGCUUUGACGUGGCAGGGCUGCCAGCUGCCAUAGGGUAGCUCUCACUUUCUGAUGGAAACCAUAUCUGAGUAGAUGCAAUAACGGAGGAGGAUGGGAGAUGGAGAGGUAUGUUUAUGAGGAAUCGCUGAGAGAAGAAGAAAGAAUAGGGCAGACCCCUGUUUUGAGGGGCUGGCCAUGCCAGACAUUGGGAGGUUGGAAGAGUGGGAAGAACUGAGGUUAGAGGAACAUAGGAAAUGCUUCACCACUGAGCCGCAGCCCUUCCCCGUGAUAAUGUGUUGGGGCAUAAGAACAUAAGAAGUGCUUGCUGGAUCAGGCUAGUGGCCCACCAACAUUUGGCUCUCACAGUGGCCAGCCAGAUGUCUGCAAGCAGGACCUGAGUGCUAAAGCACUCUUUCCUUCUGUGGUUUCAAGCAGCUUGUACACAGAAGCUUUGCUGUCUCCCAACAGUCGAGGUAACCAUCAUAGCUAGUUGCCGCCUUAUCUUCCGUGAAUGUAUCCAGUCCUCUUUUGAAGCCAUCCAAGUUGGCAACCACCAGUGCUUCUUGUGAGUCUGAAUUCCAUAGUUUAACUAUGAUCUAUGUGAAUACGUGAUUUUCUUUGCGGAGUUGAAGGAGACCCUGAGGACCAGUCCAACUCCCUGAAAUGCAGGAAUAUGCCGCUGUCCCAGAUCCCAGCGUCCCUGGCGUCAUCAGCACCACGCUCUAACCAACUGAGCUAUAUUCCAACUCUCAGCUUCAGUGGAUGUCCCGGAGUUUGUACUGUUAGGACUGAGCCCCUAAAUUCAGCCCACCC
RNAcentral lists this long non-coding RNA (3129 nucleotides) under Podarcis lilfordi (Lilford's wall lizard). The record is from RNAcentral. Lineage: Eukaryota; Metazoa; Chordata; Lepidosauria; Squamata; Lacertidae.